CCUACGUGAGGCAGCAGUGAGGAAUAUUGGUCAAUGGACGCAAGUCUGAACCAGCCAUACCGCGUGCAGGAAGACGGCUCUAUGAGUUGUAAACUGCUUUUGUACGAGGGUAAACGCAGAUACGCGUAUCUGUCUGAAAGUAUCCUAAGAAAAAGGAUCGGCUAACUCCGUGCCAGCAGCCGCGGUAAUACGGAGGAUUCAAGCGUUAUCCGGAUUUAUUGGGUUUAAAGGGUGCGUAGGCGGUCGGAUAAGUUAUGGGUGAAAUCCCCAGGCUCAACUUCGGAAUUGCCGUUGAUACUGGUCGGCGAGAGUGUGGUUGCGGUAGGCGGAAUGUGUGGUGUAGCGGUGAAAUGCUUAGAGAUCAUGCAGAACACCGAUUGCGAAGGCAGCAUACC
Molecule: ribosomal RNA, 395 nt
Filed under: uncultured bacterium
Lineage: Bacteria
Description: partial 16S ribosomal RNA
Rfam family: Bacterial small subunit ribosomal RNA
Source: RNAcentral